Molecule: ribosomal RNA, 772 nt
Filed under: Thalamita picta
Lineage: Eukaryota; Metazoa; Arthropoda; Malacostraca; Decapoda; Portunidae
Description: eukaryotic LSU rRNA
Rfam family: Eukaryotic large subunit ribosomal RNA
Source: RNAcentral
GCCUUGGCGGCGAAGGGGGAAACCGCCGGUGUCCUGGCUGCCCUGCGACGGUCGUGUAGCAGAGGGGCCCCUGCGGCCUCCCUCUCGCGGCGUGCAAAAGGUCGGUGACCCACCCGACCCGUCUUGAAACACGGACCAAGGAGUCUAACAUGUGUGCGAGUCAUUGGGCGCACUAAACCCAAAGGCGCAAUGAAAGUGAAAGGAGUGGUGUCUCCAGUCUCUCCGGAGGCUGGUGCCUGCUCCGGGGCCGAUCCCUGACCGAGCGAGAGUGUGUGGCCGUGGUUUGCCCGUGACGGCGUUUGGCCUUGUGGCGGCGCGGUGCGGGGUGAGACCCUUUCCCCCGCACGCGUGGCUGGCCUCGCUGGGCUCCCGGCUCGCUCUCUGGUCUUCGCCUGUACGCAGGGGGGCGCAGGCCCGGGACUUGGCAUUUGACGCACGCGCGCGAAUCUGUUGUUGGCCUCGCCGACUUUGCUUGGGCUCUCGGUUGGCGUGCCGCGUGUCUUUGGGCGGGUGGCGUUGCGGUGUGUGGGGCUACUCGUUAGUCCCUCCCCGCGCGCCGCUCGUCCGGCGCGGUGACGCUCUCCGAUCCUGCUCUGCUCGGCGUGGCCUAGCGCGCGUGGUGUCGGCAAGUACCAUGAGCAGACAUGUUGGGACCCGAAAGAUGGUGAACUAUGCCUGGCCAGGAUGAAGCCAGAGGAAACUCUGGUGGAGGUCCGCAGCAAUUCUGACGUGCAAAUCGAUUGUCAGAGCUGGGUAUAGGGGCGAAAGACUA